AAACAGAUUUAGGAACCUUGGCAUCAGGCAUGUUACCAUGCGACAAAGUUGCAUCAUUUGAUUUUGAUAGAUCUGGUUGCACUGAUGACGUGGUUGCUUGUUGGGUUUGUUGUGCAGAAGGUGUCAAUACAGCAUGACCAAAUGCAUCCUGACUUCUAGAACUGAUACUUGCAUUAGGAGCUUGAAUACUGGCACCUGCUUGUGAGACCCCAUUCUGACCAGCAAGUAAAUCAGUGGAACUGGGAGGGUGAGAAGCUGUAAUUGUACUUCCAACUAGUGUUCCUUGACCAGAAAUAUUUGGUUGAGAUUGGAAACCAGGGCUAGGAUUUGAGGGCAUGGUUGCUUGGUGGGUUUGUUGUGCAGAAGGUGUCAAUACCGCAUGACCAAAUGCAUCCUCGCUUCUAGAACUGAUACUUGCAUUAUGAGCUUGGACUCUGGCACCUGUUUGUGAGACACCAUUCUGACCAGGAAGAAAAUCAGUGGAACUGGGAGGGCAAGAAGC
Molecule: long non-coding RNA, 502 nt
Filed under: Capsicum annuum
Lineage: Eukaryota; Viridiplantae; Streptophyta; Magnoliopsida; Solanales; Solanaceae
Description: long non-coding RNA (CANN_LNC002681)
Source: RNAcentral